This 500-nucleotide ribosomal RNA is filed under the name uncultured bacterium. RNAcentral describes it as "partial 16S ribosomal RNA". It matches the Rfam family "Bacterial small subunit ribosomal RNA", at positions 30 to 523 of the family's 1533-position model. The record is from RNAcentral.
AUUGAACGCUGGCGGAAUGCUUUACACAUGCAAGUCGAACGGCAGCACGGGGGCAACCCUGGUGGCGAGUGGCGAACGGGUGAGUAAUACAUCGGAACGUGCCCAGUCGUGGGGGAUAACGUAGCGAAAGUUACGCUAAUACCGCAGACGAUCUACGGAUGAAAGCGGGGGACCGUAAGGCCUCGCGCGAUUGGAGCGGCCGAUGUCAGAUUAGGUAGUUGGUGAGGUAAAGGCUCACCAAGCCGACGAUCUGUAGCUGGUCUGAGAGGACGAGCAGCCAAACUGGGACUGGGACACGGCCCAGACUCCUACGGGAGGCAGCAGUGGGGAAUUUUGGACAAUGGGCGCAAGCCUGAUCCAGCCAUUCCGCGUGCAGGACGAAGGCCUUCGGGUUGUAAACUGCUUUUGUACGGAACGAAAAGGCUCUGGUUAAUACCUGGGGCUCAUGACGGUACCGUAAGAAUAAGCACCGGCUAACUACGUGCCAGCCGCCGCCAUAA